AGGAAUAUUGGUCAAUGGGCGUAAGCCUGAACCAGCCAAGUAGCGUGAGGGAAGACUGCCCUAUGGGUUGUAAACCUCUUUUGUGCGGGGAUAAAGUGUGGGACGUGUCCCAUAUUGCAGGUACCGCACGAAUAAGGACCGGCUAAUUCCGUGCCAGCAGCCGCGGUAAUACGGAAGGUCCGGGCGUUAUCCGGAUUUAUUGGGUUUAAAGGGAGCGCAGGCCGUCCUUUAAGCGUGCUGUGAAAUGCCGCGGCUCAACCGUGGCACUGCAGCGCGAACUGGAGGACUUGAGUACGCACGAGGUAGGCGGAAUUCGUGGUGUAGCGGUGAAAUGCUUAGAUAUCACGAAGAACUCCGAUUGCGAAGGCAGCUUACCGGAGCGCAACUGACGCUGAGGCUCGAAAGCGCGGGUAUCGAACAGGAUUAGAUACCCUGGUAGUCCGCGCGGUAAACGAUGGAUGCCCGCCGUUGGGAUUUUGAUUUCAGCGGCCAAGCGAAAGCGUUAAGCAUCCCACCUGGGGAGUACGCCGGCAACGGUGAAACUCAAAGGAAUUGACGGGGGCCCGCACAAGCGGAGGAACAUGUGGUUUAAUUCGAUGAUACGCGAGGAACCUUACCCGGGCUUGAAUUGCAGGAGAACGAUCCAGAGAUGGUGAGGCCCUUCGGGGCUCCUGUGAAGGUGCUGCAUGGUUGUCGUCAGCUCGUGCCGUGAGGUGUCGGCUCAAGUGCCAUAACGAGCGCAACCCCUGUCCAUAGUUGCCAUCAGGUCGUGCUGGGCACUCUGUGGAGACUGCCGCCGUAAGGUGUGAGGAAGGUGGGGAUGACGUCAAAUCAGCACGGCCCUUACGUCCGGGGCUACACACGUGUUACAAUGGGGCAUACAGCGAGUUGGAUGUGCGCAAGUACGUCCGGAUCAAUAAAGUGCCUCUCAGUUCGGACUGGGGUCUGCAACCCGACCCCACGAAGCUGGAUUCGCUAGUAAUCGCGCAUCAGCCAUGGCGCGGUGAAUACGUUCCCG
This 1018-nucleotide ribosomal RNA is filed under the name uncultured bacterium. Its description in RNAcentral is "bacterial SSU rRNA". It matches the Rfam family "Bacterial small subunit ribosomal RNA", at positions 357 to 1376 of the family's 1533-position model. The record is from RNAcentral.